This 513-nucleotide ribosomal RNA is filed under the name uncultured bacterium. RNAcentral describes it as "partial 16S ribosomal RNA". It matches the Rfam family "Bacterial small subunit ribosomal RNA", at positions 28 to 523 of the family's 1533-position model. The record is from RNAcentral.
GACGAACGCUGGCGGCAUGCCUAAUACAUGCAAGUCGAGCGAACAGAUGAAGUGCUUGCACUUCUGACGUUAGCGGCGAACGGGUGAGUAACACGUAAGGAAUCUACCUAUAAGCGGGGGAUAACAUUCGGAAACGGGUGCUAAUACCGCAUAAUAUCUUCUUCCGCAUGGAAGAAGAUUGAAAGACGGCUCUGCUGUCACUUAUAGAUGACCUUGCGGUGCAUUAGUUAGUUGGUGGGGUAACGGCCUACCAAGACGAGGAUUCAUAGCCGACCUGAGAGGGUGGUCGGCCACAUUGGGACUGAGACACGGCCCAAACUCCUACGGGAGGCAGCAGUAGGGAAUCUUCCGCAAUGGGCGAAAGCCUGACGGAGCAAUGCCGCGUGAGUGAAGAAGGCCUUCGGGUCGUAAAACUCUGUUAUAAGAGAAGAACAAAUUGUAGAGUAACUGCUACAGUCUUGACGGUAUCUUAUCAGAAAGCCACGGCUAACUACGUGCCAGCCGCCGCCGUAA